Molecule: ribosomal RNA, 875 nt
Filed under: uncultured bacterium
Lineage: Bacteria
Description: bacterial SSU rRNA
Rfam family: Bacterial small subunit ribosomal RNA
Source: RNAcentral
AGAGUUUGAUCCUGGCUCAGGACGAACGCUGGCGGCGUGCCUAAUACAUGCAAGUCGAACGAGGUUCAACCGGUGGCAACACUGGUGAAGACCUAGUGGCGAACGGGUGAGUACCACGUGAGCAACCUGUCCCGAAGACUGGGAUAACACCGGGAAACCGGUGCUAAUACCAGAUGCCCUCACGAGAUCGCAUGGUCGUGUGAGGAAAUGGAUUCCGCUUCGGGAGGGGCUCGCGGCCUAUCAGUUUGUUGGUGGGGUAACGGCCUACCAAGACAUCGACGGGUAGCUGGUCUGAGAGGACGAUCAGCCACACUGGGACUGAGACACGGCCCAGACUCCUACGGGAGGCAGCAGUAGGGAAUCUUGCGCAAUGGGCGAAAGCCUGACGCAGCAACGCCGCGUGGGGGACGAAUGCUUUCUGAGUUGUAAACCCCUUUCAGCAGGGACGAUUGUGACGGUACCUGCAGAAGAAGCACCGGCCAACUACGUGCCAGCAGCCGCGGUGAUACGUAGGGUGCAAGCGUUGUCCGGAUUUAUUGGGCGUAAAGAGCUCGUAGGCGGUUUGGUAAGUCAGGUGUGAAAUCCCCAGGCUCAACCUGGGGCUGUCAUCUGAUACUGCCAUGACUUGAGUCCGGUAGGGGACCACGGAAUUCCAGGUGUAGCGGUGAAAUGCGCAGAUAUCUGGAGGAACACCAGUAGCGAAGGCGGUGGUCUGGGCCGGCACUGACGCUGAGGAGCGAAAGCGUGGGGAGCGAACAGGAUUAGAUACCCUGGUAGUCCACGCCGUAAACGUUGGGCACUAGGUGUGGGGACUAUUCAACGGUUUCCGCGCCGCAGCUAACGCAUUAAGUGCCCCGCCUGGGGAGUACGGCGCA